GCCAAGUGGAAAUUGCUGCUAGUGGAUAUGUUACAGCUGCUUGUGACAUUCUGAGAAGGUGGAUAUUUGCAAAUAAUACAGUUCACUUGACCCUCGCUGCUUGGCAAUGAAAGAAAAACAAUCUGAAGUAUUUUCUUGGGGUUUUGGAAAAGGAAGCAGAAGACUGAUCAUGGAACUGGGGUGCUGUUGGUGUCUGAAGCAUACAAGACAAUUUUGGACAGCUAUUCAUAUUGCAGUGAAACAGAAGUGGAAUAUCCUACAUAUGCCAUAAGCUGAGCUAUAGCACAG
RNAcentral lists this long non-coding RNA (288 nucleotides) under Cyanistes caeruleus (blue tit). Its description in RNAcentral is "lncRNA (ENSCCEG00000017575.1)". Lineage: Eukaryota; Metazoa; Chordata; Aves; Passeriformes; Paridae. The record is from RNAcentral.